ACUACGGGAGGCUGCAGUGGGGGAUAUUGCACAAUGGGGGGAACCCUGAUGCAGCGACGCCGCGUGGGUGAAGAAGCGCCUCGGCGCGUAAAGCCCUGUCAGCAGGGAAGAAAAUGACGGUACCUGAAGAAGAAGCCCCGGCUAACUACGUGCCAGCAGCCGCGGUAAUACGUAGGGGGCAAGCGUUAUCCGGAUUUACUGGGUGUAAAGGGGGCGCAGACGGCGAUGCAAGCCAGGAGUGAAAGCCCGGGGCCCAACCCCGGGACUGCUCUUGGAACUGCGUGGCUGGAGUGCAGGAGGGGCAGGCGGAAUUCCUGGUGUAGCGGUGAAAUGCGUAGAUAUCAGGAGGAACACCGGUGGCGAAGGCGGCCUGCUGGACUGCAACUGACGUUGAGGCCCGAAAGCGUGGGGAGCAAACAGGAUUAGAUACCCUGGUAGUC
RNAcentral lists this ribosomal RNA (440 nucleotides) under uncultured bacterium. RNAcentral describes it as "partial 16S ribosomal RNA". It matches the Rfam family "Bacterial small subunit ribosomal RNA", at positions 338 to 795 of the family's 1533-position model. The record is from RNAcentral.